UACUUAGGAACAUGCCUUUGGGCGGGGGAUAACUAUUGGAAACGAUAGCUAAUACCGCAUAACGUCUACGGACCAAAGGGGGCUUCGGCUCCCGCCCAAAGAGUGGCCUAAGCGAGAUUAGCUUGUUGGUGAGGUAAAGGCUCACCAAGGCGACGAUCUCUAGCUGUUCUGAGAGGAAGAUCAGCCACACUGGGACUGAGACACGGCCCAGACUCCUACGGGAGGCAGCAGUGGGGAAUAUUGCACAAUGGGGGAAACCCUGAUGCAGCCAUGCCGCGUGUGUGAAGAAGGCCUCGGUUG
This 300-nucleotide ribosomal RNA is filed under the name uncultured Alteromonadaceae bacterium. RNAcentral describes it as "bacterial SSU rRNA". It matches the Rfam family "Bacterial small subunit ribosomal RNA", at positions 114 to 425 of the family's 1533-position model. Lineage: Bacteria; Pseudomonadati; Pseudomonadota; Gammaproteobacteria; Alteromonadales; Alteromonadaceae. The record is from RNAcentral.